Molecule: long non-coding RNA, 748 nt
Organism: Peromyscus eremicus (cactus mouse)
Lineage: Eukaryota; Metazoa; Chordata; Mammalia; Rodentia; Cricetidae
Exons: 4
Source: RefSeq, a predicted model, not a curated record
CAAACACAUCAGUGAGGGAUUACCUAGAGUCUCAGCCUCUGGGCAUGCCUGUAAAGAAUCCUCUUGAUUAGGUUAAUGGGAGUGAGAAAACUGAUCUAAAUGUGAGUGGCGCCAUUUCUGGGCUAGGAUCUGGAGGUGUAGGAAUGGAGAAGGAGGCCAGCCGAGCGCUAGUGUUUGUCACUCUCUGCCUCCUGGCUGUGGGUGCAAUGUGACCGGCUGUCUCCUGCUCCCUGACCUCUCUGUCAUGACAGACUGCAACUGUGAGCGGAAAUAGACCCUCCUUGUAGUUGGUUUUGUUGGGCAUGUUAUCACAGCAACAGGAAAAGACCCCACAGAGAUACCAUCACCUCCUAGACAGCAGGAAGCAAUUCUAACAAAAUGACACCUCCUCUCCUAACAGGGUUCAACACAUCACUCUACAAAUAUAUUCUCCAGUGAAGAGAGGGCAACAGUCUCUUUGGUGAGAGCUGUUAGCUGUGAGAACAAAAGCUGAACAGGUAUUAAAUUCAUUGACCAAAGAGAGAUAAUAGCUUCAGUGGGCAUCCCUGAAAAAAGGACACAUGAGAAAAAAAUAUGGACCAGUGAGUGAUGGAUAAAGAGAAGGGAUGCACAGGGGAAUCACAGCUCAUCCGAAGGGGUGGAUGGAGAAGAGAGACGGAGACGGUACUUGACCCAUUUCCACCCCGCUUCACCAACGUGAAAAACACAGCCCUUGUUAUUGAGAUAUAGCUAUAUGGACUUUGGUACU